RNAcentral lists this small RNA (405 nucleotides) under Histoplasma ohiense. RNAcentral's name for it is "hypothetical lncRNA". Lineage: Eukaryota; Fungi; Ascomycota; Eurotiomycetes; Onygenales; Ajellomycetaceae. The record is from RNAcentral.
AUCCAUUUCCAUUUCCAUUUCCAUCAUCAUACAUAAGUCAAUUCCUUCAUAUGUACAUACAUAACUACAUAAAGCAGAGAAAAUGAGCAGGAAAAGGAGAGAGUAAGGGAUGACAAGAGCAAAAAAAAAAAAAAAAAAAAAAAGCCCCAUCCUGCCCAUGAACCAACUCAAGUAAAACACACACACACACACACACACACACACACACACACACACACACACACACACACACACACACACACACGCAAAAAAAGAAAGAAAGAAAGAAAGAAACGAAGAAGAGAAAAAAGAUUUGGAAACGCAUUACCCCCUAGGAUACCCGACUAUCAUAAUCUUCCCCCUCACUGUCACUCAAACUAUCUCUCCUUCCCCUCCCUCCCCCUCCGCCUCGCCCUCCAUCAUCAG